This 303-nucleotide ribosomal RNA is filed under the name uncultured bacterium. RNAcentral's name for it is "partial 16S ribosomal RNA". It matches the Rfam family "Bacterial small subunit ribosomal RNA", at positions 507 to 809 of the family's 1533-position model. The record is from RNAcentral.
AGCAGUAGCCACGGGAAUACGAAGGGGGCUAGCGUUGCUCGGAAUGACUGGGCGUAAAGCGUGCGUAGGCGGCUUUUUAAGUCGGAUGUGAAAUCCCUGAGCUUAACUUAGGAAUUGCAUUCGAUACUGGGAAGCUAGAGUAUGGGAGAGGAUGGUAGAAUUCCAGGUGUAGCGGUGAAAUGCGUAGAGAUCUGGAGGAAUACCGAUGGCGAAGGCAGCCAUCUGGCCUAAUACUGACGCUGAGGUACGAAAGCAUGGGGAGCAAACAGGAUUAGAUACCCCUGUAGUCCCUGUCUCUUAUAA